GUGAAUCAUCGAAUCUUUGAACGCAAAUUGCACUUUCUGGUAUUCCGGAUAGUAUGCCUGUUUGAGGGUCAGUUAAAUAAAAAUUGGUGUUGUUGGUGCUUUUCGUGGUGACGGGUCGGGAUUGAGUUGUCUUACCUUUGGUUAUGUGAUUUAAAUUUUUGCAUGAUUUUCGAAAGUAUUUAAUUUUUUUACGUACGUUUGAGAUAUCGAAUACUUUAUUAGUUUCGGUCAUCCUUAUGGUUCGUACCUAUAAUUUU
Molecule: unclassified non-coding RNA, 257 nt
Filed under: Glomus sp.
Lineage: Eukaryota; Fungi; Glomeromycota; Glomeromycetes; Glomerales; Glomeraceae
Description: partial contains 5.8S ribosomal RNA and internal transcribed spacer 2
Rfam family: 5.8S ribosomal RNA (bases 1-71)
Source: RNAcentral